UCUCCUAGCUCAACUAGGAAACUGCCAUUGAUACUGUAGGGCUUGAAUUAUUAGGAAGUAACUAGAAUAUGUAGUGUAGCGGUGAAAUGCUUAGAUAUUACAUGGAAUACCAAUUGCGAAGGCAGGUUACUACUAAUUGAUUGACGCUGAUGGACGAAAGCGUGGGUAGCGAACAGGAUUAGAUACCCUGGUAGUCCACGCCGUAAACGAUGGAUACUAGCUGUUCGGAGCAAUCUGAGUGGCUAAGCGAAAGUGAUAAGUAUCCCACCUGGGGAGUACGAACGCAAGUUUGAAACUCAAAGGAAUUGACGGGGGCCCGCACAAGCGGUGGAGCAUGUGGUUUAAUUCGAUGAUACGCGAGGAACCUUACCAAGGCUUAAAUGGGAAACGACAGAUUUGGAAACAGAUUUUUCUUCGGACGUUUUUCAAGGUGCUGCAUGGUUGUCGUCAGCUCGUGCCGUGAGGUGUCAGGUUAAGUCCUAUAACGAGCGCAACCCCUGUCGUUAGUUGCCAGCGAGUCAUGUCGGGAACUCUAACGAGACUGCCAGUGUAAACUGUGAGGAAGGUGGGGAUGACGUCAAAUCAUCACGGCCCUUACGCCUUGGGCCACACACGUGCUACAAUGGACGGUACAGAGAGCAGCUACUGGGUGACCAGAUGCGAAUCUUCAAAACCGUUCUCAGUUCGGAUCGAAGUCUGCAACUCGACUUCGUGAAGCUGGAAUCGCUAGUAAUCGGAUAUCAGCCAUGAUCCGGUGAAUACGUUCCCGGGCCUUGUACACACCGCCCGUCAAGCCAUGGAAGCUGGGGGUACC
This 814-nucleotide ribosomal RNA is filed under the name unidentified microorganism. RNAcentral's name for it is "bacterial SSU rRNA". It matches the Rfam family "Bacterial small subunit ribosomal RNA", at positions 600 to 1421 of the family's 1533-position model. The record is from RNAcentral.